Molecule: ribosomal RNA, 450 nt
Filed under: uncultured bacterium
Lineage: Bacteria
Description: partial 16S ribosomal RNA
Rfam family: Bacterial small subunit ribosomal RNA
Source: RNAcentral
CCUACGGGUGGCAGCAGUGAGGAAUAUUGGUCAAUGGGCGUAAGCCUGAACCAGCCAUCCCGCGUGCAGGAAGAAGGCGCUAUGCGUCGUAAACUGCUUUUCCAGAGGAAGAAAACCCCCGACGUGUCGGGGCUUGCCGGUACUCUGGGAAUAAGCAUCGGCUAACUCCGUGCCAGCAGCCGCGGUAAUACGGAGGAUGCGAGAGUUAUCCGGAUUUAAUGGGUUUAAAGGGUACGUAUACGGAUUAGGUGAAAACCUUCAGCUUAACUGGAGACUUGCCAUUGAUACUGUUAGUCUUGAGUACGGUCAAGGUAGGCGGAAUGUGUAAUGUAGCGGUGAAAUGCUUAGAUAUUACACAGAACACCGAUUGCGAAGGCAGCUUACUGGGCCAUUACUGACGCUGAUGCACGAAAGCGUGGGGAGCGAACAGGAUUAGAUACCCCAGUAGUC